Molecule: long non-coding RNA, 499 nt
Organism: Ictalurus punctatus (channel catfish)
Lineage: Eukaryota; Metazoa; Chordata; Actinopteri; Siluriformes; Ictaluridae
Source: Ensembl
GUUUGUUUGUUUGUUUGUUUGUUUGUUUGUUUGUUUGUUUAAAGAUCACCUGUACCUGUUUGAGUUUUUGUUGUUUGUUUGUUUGUUUAAAGAUCACCUGUACCUGUUUGAGUUUUUGUUGUUUGUUUGUUUGUUUAAAGAUCACCUGUACCUGUUUGAGUUUUUGUUGUUUGUUUGUUUGUUUAAAGAUCACCUGUACCUGUUUGAGUGUUUGUUUGUUUUUUUGUUUGUUUGUUUGUUUGUUUGUUUGCUUGUUUAAAGAUCACCAGUACCUGUUUGAGUUUUUUGUUUGUUUGAUUGUUUGUUUGUUUAAAGAUCACCUGUACCUGUUUGAGUUUUUGUUGUUUGUUUGUUUGUUUAAAGAUCACCUGUACCUGUUUGAGUGUUUGUUUGUUUUUUUUGUUGUUUGUUUGUUUGUUUAAAGAUCACCUGUACCUGUUUGAGUUUUUUUGUUUGUUUGUUUGUUUAAAGAUCACCAGUACCUGUUUUAGGUUUUUUU